Molecule: ribosomal RNA, 427 nt
Filed under: uncultured bacterium
Lineage: Bacteria
Description: partial 16S ribosomal RNA
Rfam family: Bacterial small subunit ribosomal RNA
Source: RNAcentral
UGGGGAAUAUUGCACAAUGGGCGCAAGCCUGAUGCAGCCAUGCCGCGUGUAUGAAGAAGGCCUUCGGGUUGUAAAGUACUUUCAGCGAGGAGGAAGGCGUUGUGGUUAAUAACCGCAACGAUUGACGUUACUCGCAGAAGAAGCACCGGCUAACUCCGUGCCAGCAGCCGAGGUAAUACGGAGGGGGCAAGCGUUAAUCGGAAUUACUGGGCGUAAAGCGCACGCAGGCGGUCUGUCAAGUCGGAUGUGAAAUCCCCGGGCUCAACCUGGGAACUGCAUCCGAAACUGGCAGGCUAGAGUCUUGUAGAGGGGGGUAGAAUUCCAGGUGUAGCGGUGAAAUGCGUAGAGAUCUGGAGGAAUACCGGUGGCGAAGGCGGCCCCCUGGACAAAGACUGACGCUCAGGUGCGAAAGCGUGGGGAGCAAACA